UUCUGGCAAUAUCAAUGAAAUAAUGUUGUUUCUUUACUCUAUUUUGUCUAUAUCUUUUUGAUCGAUGACAAAAGGGGAGAAACAUAAUUGAUUUUGAUGUGUCUAUGUUUGUGAAUCAGAACCCAAACAUUUUUAAUGUUUUUGCUAACAAUUACUUCGAAGAAUAUUUUGUUAAUUGUUUUUCAGGGAAAGUCAAAGAACAUCAGAAGCU
This 211-nucleotide long non-coding RNA is filed under the name Lathyrus oleraceus (garden pea). RNAcentral's name for it is "Pisum sativum (pea) long non-coding RNA (PSAT_LNC000510)". Lineage: Eukaryota; Viridiplantae; Streptophyta; Magnoliopsida; Fabales; Fabaceae. The record is from RNAcentral.